Molecule: ribosomal RNA, 468 nt
Filed under: uncultured bacterium
Lineage: Bacteria
Description: partial 16S ribosomal RNA
Rfam family: Bacterial small subunit ribosomal RNA
Source: RNAcentral
GACGAACGCUGGCGGCGUGCUUAACACAUGCAAGUCGAACGGAAAGGCCCUGCUUUUGUGGGGUGCUCGAGUGGCGAACGGGUGAGUAACACGUGAGUAACCUGCCCUUGACUUUGGGAUAACUUCAGGAAACUGGGGCUAAUACCGGAUAGGAGCUCCUGCUGCAUGGUGGGGGUUGGAAAGUUUCGGCGGUUGGGGAUGGACUCGCGGCUUAUCAGCUUGUUGGUGGGGUAGUGGCUUACCAAGGCUUUGACGGGUAGCCGGCCUGAGAGGGUGACCGGCCACAUUGGGACUGAGAUACGGCCCAGACUGCUACGGGAGGCAGAAGUGGGGAAUAUUGCGCAGUGGGCGGGAGCCUGAUGCAGCAACGCCGCGUGCGGGAUGACGGCCUUCGGGUUGUAAACCGCUUUCGCCUGUGACGAAGCGUGAGUGACGGUAAUGGGUAAAGAAGCACCGGCUAACUACGUG